Salvelinus fontinalis (brook trout) is the source of this 985-nucleotide long non-coding RNA. RefSeq lists it as uncharacterized. The transcript is spliced from 3 exons. Lineage: Eukaryota; Metazoa; Chordata; Actinopteri; Salmoniformes; Salmonidae. The record is from RefSeq and is a predicted model, not a curated record.
UGGGUGUUGUUGCACCAUACCAACGAUAAGCCUGUCUUCCCAUCACAUCAUGAAAGGUCAUGUUGAUGUUCAUUUAACCUCUGUCUCUCUCUUCCUCUGACUCCUCCCUUUCUCCUCUGUCUCUGUCUUCCUCUGACUCCUCCCUUUCUCCUCUGUCUCUCUCUUCCUCUGACUCCUCCCUUUCUCCUCUGUCUCUCUCUUCCUCUGACUCCUCCCUUUCUCCUCUGUCUCUCUCUUCCUCUGACUCCUCCCUUUCUCCUCUGUCUCUCUCUUCCUCUGACUCCUCCCUUUCUCCUCUGUCUCUCUCUUCCUCUGACUCCUCCCUUUCUCCUCUGUUUCUCUCUUCCUCUGACUCCUCCCUUUCUCCUCUGUCUCUCUGUCUCUCUCUCUCUCUUUCUCCUCUGUCUCUCUCUUUCUCCUCAGAUCUCCAGGCUCUAAGCGUCAGUCCACCAGCUGAACUCUCAGUCAGACUGGUGAAUGGAACCACUUCCUGUUCUGGGACAGUGGAAGUCUUCUACAGAGGAGAGUGGUCAGGUCUAUGUUUUAUGUGGUGGUGGAGCAUGAUGAUAGAGACUAAGGUUGUGUGUAGAGAGCUGGACUGUGGGAAUCCUGUAGCUGCAUCUAGAGGACCUCUGAUUGAAGAUGGAAGAGGAGGAGUCAUACUAUUGAGUUGUGAUGGAGAUGGGUCUUCUAUUGGACAGUGUGACAUCAGAGGAGGACGUGGUGUCUGUAAUGGUGAAUAUUAUCGUCAUGUGACCUGUUCAGAGUCUGUGCGGCUUGUGGAUGGAGCUGGUCUCUGCUCUGGGAGAGUGGAGGUGAAGUACAAUCAGUCCUGGGCCUCAGUGUGUGAAGCUGACUUUGACCGGCAGGAUGCAGAGGUAGUCUGUGGGGAGCUUGGCUGUGGGGCUCCUGCAGCUCUACAGGGGGGGCUCUAUGGAGGAGGUGAGGGUCAGACCUGGGAUAGAGAGUUCCAGUGUAAAGGCAA